RNAcentral lists this ribosomal RNA (580 nucleotides) under Acidimicrobiales bacterium. Its description in RNAcentral is "partial 23S ribosomal RNA". It matches the Rfam family "Archaeal large subunit ribosomal RNA", at positions 325 to 908 of the family's 2987-position model. The record is from RNAcentral. Lineage: Bacteria; Bacillati; Actinomycetota; Acidimicrobiia; Acidimicrobiales.
GUUGAAGUAAUCUGGAACGUUUUGGCAUAGAGGGUGAUACCCCCGUAAACGAAAUGGUAUAGGAUUAGUUGAGUACCAGAGUAGAUGUCCUUGGUAGUGGGCAUCGAAUAUUAGGAGAAAGUAGCUUCUAAGGCUAAAUAUAACUCAAAACCGAUAGUGCACUAGUACCGUGAGGGAAAGCUGAAAAGUACCCCGGAAGGGGGGUGAAAAGUGCAUGAAAUCUAUUACUUACAGACGUGCAUAGCAUGAAAGGUGAUUUUUCUAAAUUGGAGGUUCUAGCAAUAGAGCUAAAGAUUUGGAGCUCAAAUCGUCAGUGUUAUGCGUUCCGUCUCGAAACACGGGCCAAGGAGCUAACUGUCAUGGCAAGACUAAACCAGACAAGGUGGAGUCGAAGGGAAACCGAGUUCUCGCAGCAUUAGCGAGGAGAAGCGUGUGAAAGUGCGUUGAGUCAUGGCGGCUAGGCUAGAAGCCAGUCGAUCUAAUCCUGAGCAAGCUGAAGGCGGGCGAAAGCCCGCUGGAGGGCUGAAGCAGUUCUGACGUGCAAAUCGUUUGUGUGACUUGGGAUUAGGGGUCAAAAACC